Long non-coding RNA from Empidonax traillii (willow flycatcher), 761 nucleotides. RefSeq lists it as uncharacterized. Lineage: Eukaryota; Metazoa; Chordata; Aves; Passeriformes; Tyrannidae. The transcript is spliced from 3 exons. The record is from RefSeq and is a predicted model, not a curated record.
GUUCUCACAACCCAUUAACUUACAGCUGGAAAGUGAAAAGGCCAAGAGACAUGUAAAACCUCUGUGUGAGUCCGCCUGUGCAUGUGUGUAUAAGCAACUUCUAGGUAGAGGUGCCUGCUCCAAAGGAGAAACCCUGGCUCACAGUGAUAACCCUUGCUCUUGAGAUGGGAUGCCUUAGCAGAUAAGGAUCCAGAUCCUGAAUUGGAUCACACCUAGCUGCACAGCCCUGUCUCAGAGAAGUGUGAGCACUAAGAAGGUGUGAAGGGUGAGAAAGAGGAAAAGAGGAGCUACUGCUCUUGGGUUUAGAUUCUGAAAGUUAAAGAGCAACUCAGUUGCUCUUAUAAGAGAUAGCUUUUAAUUUGGACCCACAGUCUGUUGAUUUAAAUGCUCAGCUCCAGAUCUCUCAGUUUUACUGGUAAUAGCCUGGCCAUUCAGAGAAGCUGUAUCCCACUAGUAUGGGAAAACACAGUGUUGAUUGAUAUGGUGUGCCACUAAACACAGUUCCGCUGAGGGCUGUGACUCAGAUGUAUUGCAUUCAGUUGCACACUUACAUUCUCAGAGCAUGACCUGUGUAACUUAUAUGUGACAGAUGGGAGUACUCCUCAGAAGGUGCCCCCCUAGGCCCUUGCACAGACAUGGCUUUUCUUUCCCGGGCAGCAGGGAGGUAUUUAGUGUUAAAGCCCUAUUGAAAUUCUCAAAAGUGACUUUCCACUGGGUGGCCAUUUUAGUGGCAGUGCUUUUCUUUAGGACUUGAGGCAUUG